RNAcentral lists this ribosomal RNA (386 nucleotides) under uncultured bacterium. RNAcentral's name for it is "bacterial SSU rRNA". It matches the Rfam family "Bacterial small subunit ribosomal RNA", at positions 30 to 416 of the family's 1533-position model. The record is from RNAcentral.
AUUGAACGCUGGCGGCAUGCUUUACACAUGCAAGUCGAACGGCAGCGCGGGCUUCGGCCUGGCGGCGAGUGGCGAACGGGUGAGUAAUAUAUCGGAACGUACCCAAGAGUGGGGGAUAACGUAGCGAAAGUUACGCUAAUACCGCAUACGAUCUAAGGAUGAAAGCAGGGGAUCGCAAGACCUUGUGCUCCUGGAGCGGCCGAUAUCUGAUUAGCUAGUUGGUGGGGUAAAGGCCCCACCAAGGCAACGAUCAGUAGCUGGUCUGAGAGGACGACCAGCCACACUGGAACUGAGACACGGUCCAGACUCCUACGGAGGCAGCAGUGGGGAAUUUUGGACAAUGGGGGCAACCCUGAUCCAGCAAUGCCGCGUGAGUGAAGAAGGCC